RNAcentral lists this ribosomal RNA (992 nucleotides) under Pseudomonas aeruginosa. RNAcentral's name for it is "bacterial SSU rRNA". It matches the Rfam family "Bacterial small subunit ribosomal RNA", at positions 47 to 1029 of the family's 1533-position model. Lineage: Bacteria; Pseudomonadati; Pseudomonadota; Gammaproteobacteria; Pseudomonadales; Pseudomonadaceae. The record is from RNAcentral.
UAGUAGACUUGUCAAGCUCGUGCGGAUGAAGGGAGCUUGCUCCUGGAUUCAGCGGCGGACGGGUGAGUAAUGCCUAGGAAUCUGCCUGGUAGUGGGGGAUAACGUCCGGAAACGGGCGCUAAUACCGCAUACGUCCUGAGGGAGAAAGUGGGGGAUCUUCGGACCUCACGCUAUCAGAUGAGCCUAGGUCGGAUUAGCUAGUUGGUGGGGUAAAGGCCUACCAAGGCGACGAUCCGUAACUGGUCUGAGAGGAUGAUCAGUCACACUGGAACUGAGACACGGUCCAGACUCCUACGGGAGGCAGCAGUGGGGAAUAUUGGACAAUGGGCGAAAGCCUGAUCCAGCCAUGCCGCGUGUGUGAAGAAGGUCUUCGGAUUGUAAAGCACUUUAAGUUGGGAGGAAGGGCAGUAAGUUAAUACCUUGCUGUUUUGACGUUACCAACAGAAUAAGCACCGGCUAACUUCGUGCCAGCAGCCGCGGUAAUACGAAGGGUGCAAGCGUUAAUCGGAAUUACUGGGCGUAAAGCGCGCGUAGGUGGUUCAGCAAGUUGGAUGUGAAAUCCCCGGGCUCAACCUGGGAACUGCAUCCAAAACUACUGAGCUAGAGUACGGUAGAGGGUGGUGGAAUUUCCUGUGUAGCGGUGAAAUGCGUAGAUAUAGGAAGGAACACCAGUGGCGAAGGCGACCACCUGGACUGAUACUGACACUGAGGUGCGAAAGCGUGGGGAGCAAACAGGAUUAGAUACCCUGGUAGUCCACGCCGUAAACGAUGUCGACUAGCCGUUGGGAUCCUUGAGAUCUUAGUGGCGCAGCUAACGCGAUAAGUCGACCGCCUGGGGAGUACGGCCGCAAGGGUUAAAACUCAAUGAAUUGACGGGGGCCCCGCACAAGCGGUGGGAGCAUGUGGUUUUAAUUUCGAAGCACGCGAGAACCUUACCUGGGCCUUUGAACAUGCUGAGACUUUCAGAGAUGAAUUGAUUGCGUCGGUCUCAG